UUAUGCCUUCAUCGAGUAUGAGCAUGAACGAGACAUGCACUGUGAGUACUGUGCCUCUGCCCUUCCUUCUGACCCUCUACCUCUGCUGCCCAGCCUCUCCCCCCGUCGUCUGUUCCCUCCCCUGCCAUACCUGACUUUAGCAUUGUCUCUUCUCCCUCUGUUUCUGAUAUAUCUUUUUUUUAUAUAUUUAUAUACGUGUUUUUUAAAAAUCAAAAACCAAACCCCCCACAACGUGUGUGUGAGCCCAGGGAGGUAAGUGUCACACGUUGAACCUCAGGGGCCAGGAGGGCACUGGGUGGGGUAUGGGGCCAG
This 312-nucleotide long non-coding RNA is filed under the name Rattus norvegicus (Norway rat). RNAcentral describes it as "long non-coding RNA NONRATT002636". The record is from RNAcentral. Lineage: Eukaryota; Metazoa; Chordata; Mammalia; Rodentia; Muridae.